AACGAACGCUGGCGGCGCGCCUAAUACAUGCAAGUCGAGCGAGAAGGUGUAGCAAUACACUUGUAAAGCGGCGAACGGGUGAGGAAUGCAUGGGUAACCUACCCUCGAGUGGGGAAUAACUAGCCGAAAGGUUAGCUAAUACCGCAUACGUUUCCGGAACUUCGGUUUCGGAAAGAAAGCAAUACCGUGGGUAUUGCGCUCCUGGAUGGGCUCAUGUCCUAUCAGCUUGUUGGUGAGGUAACGGCUCACCAAGGCUUCGACGGGUAGCUGGUCUGAGAGGACGAUCAGCCACACUGGCACUGCGACACGGGCCAGACUCCUACGGGAGGCAGCAGUAAGGAAUAUUGCGCAAUGGACGAAAGUCUGACGCAGCGACGCCGCGUGGGGGAUGGAAGGUCUUCGGAUUGUAAACCCCUUUCGGGAGGGAAGAUGGAGUGGGUAACCACUUGGACGGUACCUCCAGAAGCAGCCACGGCUAACUUCGUGCC
RNAcentral lists this ribosomal RNA (488 nucleotides) under uncultured bacterium. Its description in RNAcentral is "bacterial SSU rRNA". It matches the Rfam family "Bacterial small subunit ribosomal RNA", at positions 29 to 509 of the family's 1533-position model. The record is from RNAcentral.